Molecule: ribosomal RNA, 253 nt
Filed under: uncultured bacterium
Lineage: Bacteria
Description: partial 16S ribosomal RNA
Rfam family: Bacterial small subunit ribosomal RNA
Source: RNAcentral
UACGUAGGGUGCGAGCGUUGUCCGGAAUUAUUGGGCGUAAAGAGCUCGUAGGCGGCUUGUCGCGUCGGAUGUGAAAGCCCGGGGCUUAACUCCGGGUCUGCAUUCGAUACGGGCAGGCUAGAGUUCGGUAGGGGAGAUCGGAAUUCCUGGUGUAGCGGUGAAAUGCGCAGAUAUCAGGAGGAACACCGGUGGCGAAGGCGGAUCUCUGGGCCGAUACUGACGCUGAGUAGCGAAAGCGUGGGGAGCGAACAGG